This is a non-coding RNA of Struthio camelus australis, 548 nucleotides long. The record is from RefSeq and is a predicted model, not a curated record. NCBI's taxonomy places the organism in Eukaryota, Metazoa, Chordata, Aves, Struthioniformes, Struthionidae.
AGACACCUUCCUGAGCAGCAGAGGAGCGGACUGGAGAGCAGGCAGUGUGAUGAAGUCAGCAGUGAGGUCUGGACCGCUGCAGGAGGCAGCAUGAAGGAUCAGCAGUGUUGCUUGGCAUGGCGUUCACUGAGGGUCAUAGCACUCAUCUUCUACUCCGGCUAAACCUCUGUCGUAUGAUUCAGCAGCGUGAGUCACAGGUUACUGGGACCCAAAAUAGAGCUUUAAGCUGAAAAGAAUGCACUGUUAUUAGCUGGUUCUGGCUGCCAAACAAGAAACCAUCAUUAUUAUUCUUUCAUCUAAGUUUCCCCACGCUGCUCCAAAAUGGGAUCUUCUGGCAGCACUAUGCGAGAAAACUUGCAUCUUGACUUCUGAACCUCCUGAACAACUCCACAAGAAGUAACAGCUCCUGACAAGACCAGCGAAGCCUGUCCGGUGACACAAGUCUCUUGAAUGCACACUUUUGACCUUACCUGUGUCUUUACAACCAGUUUUUCUAAAUCAUGUGGAAAUAUCUGUCAAAAUCUUCAUUCAAAAGGGGUUUCCUGUCU